CUACGGGCGGCACCAGUGAGGAAUAUUGCACAAUGGGGGGAACCCUGAUGCAGCAACGCCGCGUGGAGGAUGACGCAUUUCGGUGUGUAAACUCCUUUUAUAUGUCAAGAAAAUGACGGUAGCAUAUGAAUAAGCACCGGCUAACUCCGUGCCAGCAGCCGCGGUAAUACGGAGGGUGCAAGCGUUACUCGGAAUCACUGGGCGUAAAGGACGCGUAGGCGGGUUGGAAAGUCAGGUGUGAAAUCCUACAGCUUAACUGUAGAACUGCACUUGAAACUUCUAAUCUAGAGUAUGGGAGGGGGAGAUGGAAUUAGUGGUGUAGGGGUAAUAUCCGUAGAUAUCACUAGGAAUACCUAAAGCGAAGGCGAUCUCCUGGAACAUUACUGACGCUAAGGCGUGAAAGCGUGGGGAGCAAACAGGAUUAGUUACCCUCGUAGUC
This 439-nucleotide ribosomal RNA is filed under the name uncultured bacterium. RNAcentral's name for it is "partial 16S ribosomal RNA". It matches the Rfam family "Bacterial small subunit ribosomal RNA", at positions 339 to 795 of the family's 1533-position model. The record is from RNAcentral.